Molecule: ribosomal RNA, 111 nt
Filed under: Spirochaetaceae bacterium
Lineage: Bacteria; Pseudomonadati; Spirochaetota; Spirochaetia; Spirochaetales; Spirochaetaceae
Also listed under: 2 other names
Source: RNAcentral
CCUGGUGACUAUUGUGGAGGGGCCACACCCGUUCCCAUACCGAACACGGAAGUUAAGCCCUCCAACGCCGAUGGUACUGCCAUUCGGUGGAAGAGUAGGUCGUCGCCAGGC